ACGUGUGUUUAAGAAAUUGUUGUGGCUAAACCAAAUUAUCAGUUGUCCCAACCAGUAAAAUGUCCUGGCUGUUUUCCUAAGCGAUGACAGGACUAUGUUUAGUGAAAGAGAAGUGCCAGCUGUCUUGCUAACAGAACUCUGACAUUCUCUUUAACUGAACGAUGCAGGAAAAUUGCAAGUUGCCCUUCACUGCCCUUUGGAACAAGAGCCAUCACUAGUCGAAGAAAAUAUUUGAGUUGAAAGCAGUGAGAAUGGACAGUUACUGAUGCCAGUUUGAAGACCACUUCCCACCUUGAUCAUGCAAAGAUAGUGUUGGCAAAAUGUAGCCCAUCAGAUCUAGUUGAACCGCAUCAUUCAUUGUGUAUUAUAAUAGGCGUAGUCUUCUGAGAAGGUCUCUCAUUGUUCCCACGAAAAGACAUGGGAGGUGUGAAAAAAAUGUCAGUCAUUUGUUAAGUUUGCCUUAGUAGAGUGCCCACAGAAAUCUGUGUCU
RNAcentral lists this long non-coding RNA (490 nucleotides) under Pogona vitticeps (central bearded dragon). Its description in RNAcentral is "lncRNA (ENSPVIG00000015951.1)". Lineage: Eukaryota; Metazoa; Chordata; Lepidosauria; Squamata; Agamidae. The record is from RNAcentral.